This is a long non-coding RNA of Astyanax mexicanus (Mexican tetra), 1758 nucleotides long. RefSeq lists it as uncharacterized. The transcript is spliced from 2 exons. The record is from RefSeq and is a predicted model, not a curated record. NCBI's taxonomy places the organism in Eukaryota, Metazoa, Chordata, Actinopteri, Characiformes, Acestrorhamphidae.
CCAAGGCAAAACACGCUAAACAUUUUUUGGCUGCUGCAGUAGCUCAGCUCAGCUCAGCUCAUUCAGUUCAGCUCGCUCAGCUCAGCUCCGCUCCGGACCGGACUCAGCUGCCAAGCUAUAAGAUGGAGUCAUGAAAUGUGACGGGACAGCCACCGAGGACUUCAUACUUCGGAGCAUCUCAAACAUGCACCACAAAGACGUGGAGGACACACCGCUGUCUCUCAGGACCUAGAAUCUUAAUGAAAGUAUAAUGAUGUUAAGGGAAGGUGUAAUGGAAAGGUGUAAUGUAAAGUUGUAAUGGUGUUAAGGGAAGGUGUAGUGGAAAGGUGUGAUAGUGUUGAGGGAAGGGGUAAUGUUAAAGGUGUAAUAGUGUUGAGGGAAGGUGUAAUAGUGUUGAGGGAAGGGGUAAUGUUAAAGGUGUAAUAGUGUUGAGGGAAGGUGUAAUGUUAAAGGUGUAAUAGUGUUAAGGGAAGGUAUAAUAUUGUUAAGGGAAGGUGUAAUGCAGGGGUCUCAAACUCAUUUUUGCCGAGGGCCACAUUGACAUAUUGGCUGUCCUCUGAGGGCCAGAUGUAACUUACAAAUAUAAGAAAAUGUAACCAGAUGUAAUAUAAAAUGAAUGUAAUUACUCCUUAAUGUUAAAUAACUCUCAAUAUACUAUUUAUUCAAUCAAAUAUUACAGUUGCAUGGAAAAAUGUUUGCUUGUUGCUCUAUUAACAUAAAUCCUUUUAAUUUGUCAUGUUAUGAAAUCCAAAAACUCCAUCAAUCAAGAACCAAACUAUUCAAGUGAAUAGAAAUUACAUCAAGUACAAGUUAUAUUAACUUUGAUCAAAACGUUUGAUACUGAAAUAAGGCUUAAUAAAUAUAAAAUCAAAAAUUGUGAGCUGUGACAGAUUUAGCAUUUCCUCAGAUUUAGCAGUUCCUCAUCCAACCACUAGUCGGAGCUGCAGCUGCAGCACCACAAGCCCGCAGUCUUUACUGAGUCAGAGCUACAGCCCAGCCACGGGCUACAGGACUCAGCUGAGCCAGUCUGGAGCGUUUUUAAAAUUUUAAGUUCUUCUGUGUAUGAAAUAAAAUAACCCCACUAACCGGAUAAUACAGCUCUCUACAGUUCAUCUUUCAGCCCAAGCAGCUAACAGCAGCAGUUUAGAGCAGCGUCACGGAGGCACUGCUGGGAUUACAUUAUAAACAGGUCAGUUAGCGCGCUGCUAACCUCAGGAUGUUUAUAACUACGGAGUUUAGUGGACACACCACGGCAGCAAGGUUAGACUGUUGAAGGCUACUGAACACUAUUAAAGCAGGCAACGCAGCGUAAGCAAAAAAAAAAAAAAAAACACACACACACACACCAAAAUACAAGUUAAGAUAAAAUAUGAAAACGAACGUAAUAAAGCAUAAAUAAUUAAAUUGAAUUGCGGGCCAGAUGUAUGUUUAUUUUGUUAACCCGUGAGGGGCCGUAUGAAACCGCGUGGGCCGGUACUUUGAGACCCCUGGUGUAAUGUAAAGGUGUAAUAGUGUUGAGGGAAGGUAUAAUAUUGUUAAGGGAAGGUGUAAUAGUUUUGAGGGAAGGUGUAAUAGUGUUGAGGGAAGGUGUAAUGUUAAAGGUGUAAUAGUGUUGAGGGAAGGUAUAAUAUUGUUAAGGGAAGGUGUAAUGUUAAAGGUGUAAUAGUGUUGAGGGAAGGUAAAUGUUUAGUGAAAUUGUUAUGGUGUGAAUCUAAGGUGUAUGUUAUGUUGAUGUAAAAUAAAGGCAUUAACCCCAAA